UGGAUUCGGUAGUAAUCGCGUGUCAGCAGCGCGCGGUGAAUACGUCCCUGCUCCUUGCACACACCGCCCGUCAAAGCACCCGAGUGGGGUCCGGAUGAGGCUUGGUCACCCAAGUCGAAUCUGGGCUCCGCAAGGGGGCUUAAGUCGUAACAAGGUAGCCGUAGGGGAAUCUGCGGCUGGAUCACCUCCU
Molecule: ribosomal RNA, 190 nt
Filed under: Haloplanus aerogenes
Lineage: Archaea; Methanobacteriati; Methanobacteriota; Halobacteria; Halobacteriales; Haloferacaceae
Description: partial 16S ribosomal RNA
Rfam family: Archaeal small subunit ribosomal RNA
Source: RNAcentral